Long non-coding RNA from Phragmites australis (common reed), 1262 nucleotides. RefSeq lists it as uncharacterized. The record is from RefSeq and is a predicted model, not a curated record. The transcript is spliced from 4 exons. NCBI's taxonomy places the organism in Eukaryota, Viridiplantae, Streptophyta, Magnoliopsida, Poales, Poaceae.
CAAUUGUCCCUAUUCUAUUCGCUCUCCCAGCCGCCGCCACCUCAUCACGCCGCCCUCUCCUCGCCGUCUCCUCCUGAUCUCCUCCCACGGCGCUCCUCCUCGGCAACUCCCUCGCCGCAGCCGUGUUCCUCGACGCGGACGCCAUCAGCCGUGCCGAGCCGGCCAGGCUGCGUACUGGGAGCUCGUCCGUAGCCAAGGGGGACAUCUGGGGCCCCGUGCUAACCGUCGCCUUUGGGCAGGGGCGGAUCUACCAUUCUAGCGAGCUCUGGCGCUCGCCAGAGGUGCCCGCAGACGGGAACCACACUGAGCCGGCCUCUGUCGCGGACUCACGGUCCAUGCCCUGAGCGUUGAGCCCCUGAUGGCCUGUCGGCUGUCUUGGACUGGCUCCAAUCGAGACUUGGACUCCCAACUCCGCCGCGGAGCCGCCCGUCAUCCCGUUUCCGUUCCCGUGCCGCCGGCCGCCGCCGGCUCCUGCCCGCUGCGCCGUCCUGCGCCGCGCUGCCCCUGCCCGUGCCCGGCUGCUCAUCGCGGCGUCGCCGUCGCCCUACGUGGCUUGCGCGCCCCUGCGCAGGAUGCAGGCUAGCUGGCCUGACUAAGUGCUCGAUCGAAGUUCAGGUUGCACUGCUGCAGGCUAGCGCGUCUGCGGAUCUGCUGCUACGUCUAGGCGCUAGCUGCGGGCGGCCGGCUGCAAGCCUGAUUGUGAUUGGUGAUUGUGAAGGAAGAAUUGAAGAAGAUUAGAAGAACUGCCCGUUGGGCUCUUCAGGAAACUCCAGAUCACGAGAAAGCAGCAAAUGGUGUAGUGAAGCCCAUCAUAGUUGAUAGGGAGGAUAAUAUCCAUGAUACAAAUGCUGAACAGCCUAGCUCAAAUGGUCAAGAAGCAACAUCAAGAGGUUCUAAUCAAGUGUCUAUCUGAAGAUCUGGGUUUCUCGAUCGGUAGGCCUAUCGUUGCGUACCUCAUCUACCGAUGUCUGGUCCACUGGAGAUCAUUUGAAGAGGAAAGGACCCCAUUGCUCUUCCUAGUCUACCUCACUGUCGUCACGGCGUACUACUUCGAGUGCAGGGAGAGCAAGCGGGAAGAACAGGAGAUCAUGGCCUCGCCUACGUCUCAAAUCUUCUUCUUUUUCCAUUUUUUGUUUGUUUGGAUGACUUGUAUUUUAUACUAGUGUUGAUUUUUUUCUGGUAAUUGUUGCAAGAGAAGAAAUAGCAUAGCAUGUAAAUUGACAAUUUCCAAAGUCAUUCAGAUAAACAGGAUCUUAAUUAGA